AACGAACGCUGGCGGCGCGCCUAAUACAUGCAAGUCGAGCGAGAAGACGUAGCAAUACGUUUGUAAAGCGGCGAACGGGUGAGGAAUACAUGGGUAACCUACCCUCGAGUGGGGAAUAACUAGCCGAAAGGUUAGCUAAUACCGCGUACGCUCCUUGGACUUCGGUUCAGGGAGGAAAGCGAUACCGUGGGUAUCGCGCUCUUGGAUGGGCUCAUGUCCUAUCAGCUUGUUGGUGNGGUAACGGCUCACCAAGGCUUCGACGGGUAGCUGGUCUGAGAGGACGAUCAGCCACACUGGCACUGCGACACGGGCCAGACUCCUACGGGAGGCAGCAGUAAGGAAUAUUGCGCAAUGGGCGAAAGCCUGACGCAGCGACGCCGCGG
Molecule: ribosomal RNA, 383 nt
Filed under: uncultured bacterium
Lineage: Bacteria
Description: bacterial SSU rRNA
Rfam family: Bacterial small subunit ribosomal RNA
Source: RNAcentral